This 423-nucleotide ribosomal RNA is filed under the name uncultured Glomeromycotina. Its description in RNAcentral is "SSU rRNA". It matches the Rfam family "Eukaryotic small subunit ribosomal RNA", at positions 671 to 1092 of the family's 1831-position model. The record is from RNAcentral. Lineage: Eukaryota; Fungi; Glomeromycota.
UGGUAUGUACUGGUCUCACUGAUUCCUCCUUCCUGAUGAGCCGUAAUGCCAUUAAUUUGGUGUUGCGGGGAAUUUGGACUGUUACUUUGAAAAAAUUAGAGUGUUUAAAGCAAGCUAACGCUUGAAUACAUUAGCAUGGAAUAAUGAAAUAGGACGUUCGAUCCUAUUUUGUUGGUUUCUAGGAUUGACGUAAUGAUUAAUAGGGAUAGUUGGGGGCAUUAGUAUUCAAUUGUCAGAGGUGAAAUUCUUGGAUUUAUUGAAGACUAACUACUGCGAAAGCAUUUGCCAAGGAUGUUUUCAUUAAUCAAGAACGAAAGUUAGGGGAUCGAAGACGAUCAGAUACCGUCGUAGUCUUAACCAUAAACUAUGCCGACUAGGGAUCGGAUGAUGUUAAUUUUUUAAUGACUCAUUCGGCGCCUUACG